RNAcentral lists this ribosomal RNA (245 nucleotides) under uncultured bacterium. RNAcentral describes it as "partial 16S ribosomal RNA". It matches the Rfam family "Bacterial small subunit ribosomal RNA", at positions 524 to 768 of the family's 1533-position model. The record is from RNAcentral.
UACGUAGGGUGCAAGCGUUGUUCGGAAUCAUUGGGCGUAAAGCGCGUGUAGGUGGUUAUGUAAGUCGGGUGUGAAAUCCCUGGGCUCAACCGAGGAAGUGCAUCCGAAACUACAUAGCUAGAGGACGGUAGAGGAAGGUGGAAUUCCUAGUGUAGAGGUGAAAUUCGUAGAUAUUAGGAGGAAUACCGGUGGCGAAGGCGGCCUUCUGGGCCGGACCUGACACUGAGACGCGAAAGCGUGGGUAG